This 812-nucleotide ribosomal RNA is filed under the name uncultured Acidobacterium sp. RNAcentral's name for it is "bacterial SSU rRNA". It matches the Rfam family "Bacterial small subunit ribosomal RNA", at positions 56 to 904 of the family's 1533-position model. Lineage: Bacteria; Pseudomonadati; Acidobacteriota; Terriglobia; Terriglobales; Acidobacteriaceae. The record is from RNAcentral.
UGCAGUCGCACGAGAAGGGGAGCAAUCCCUGAGUAAAGUGGCGCACGGGUGAGUAACACGUGAAUCAUCUACCUCCGAGUGGGGAAUAACCUAGAGAAAUCUGGGCUAAUACCGCAUAACACUUACGAGUCAAAGCAGCAAUGCGCUUGGAGAGGAGUUCGCGGCAGAUUAGUUAGUUGGCAGGGUAAUGGCCUACCAAGACGAUGAUCUGUAUCCGGCCUGAGAGGGCGCACGGACACACUGGAACUGAAACACGGUCCAGACUCCUACGGGAGGCAGCAGUGGGGAAUUUUGCGCAAUGGGGGAAACCCUGACGCAGCAACGCCGCGUGGAGGAUGAAAUCCCUUGGGAUGUAAACUCCUUUCGAUAGGGAAGAUAAUGACGGUACCUAUAGAAGAAGCCCCGGCUAACUUCGUGCCAGCAGCCGCGGUAAUACGAGGGGGGCAAGCGUUGUUCGGAUUUAUUGGGCGUAAAGGGUGCGUAGGCGGUUUGACAAGUCUUAUGUGAAAUCUUCGGGCUCAACCCGAAGCCUGCAUAAGAAACUGUCGGGCUUGAGUAUGGGAGAGGUGAGUGGAAUUUCCGGUGUAGCGGUGAAAUGCGUAGAUAUCGGAAGGAACACCUGUGGCGAAAGCGGCUCACUGGACCAUAACUGACGCUGAGGCACGAAAGCUAGGGGAGCAAACAGGAUUAGAUACCCUGGUAGUCCUAGCCCUAAACGAUGAUUGCUUGAUGUGGCAGGUACCCAAUCCUGCCGUGUCGAAGCUAACGCGAUAAGCAUCCGCUGGGGAGUACGGUCGCAUGCUGAAACUCAA